RNAcentral lists this ribosomal RNA (433 nucleotides) under uncultured bacterium. RNAcentral describes it as "partial 16S ribosomal RNA". It matches the Rfam family "Bacterial small subunit ribosomal RNA", at positions 29 to 507 of the family's 1533-position model. The record is from RNAcentral.
AACGAACGCUGGCGGCAUGCCUAACACAUGCAAGUCGAACGAGACCUUCGGGUCUAGUGGCGCACGGGUGCGUAACGCGUGGGAACCUGCCCUUAGGUUCGGAAGAACUCCCCGAAAGGGGUGCUAAUACCGGAUAAUGUCUUCGGACCAAAGAUUUAUCGCCUUUGGAUGGGCCCGCGUUGGAUUAGCUAGUUGGUAGGGUAAAAGCCUACCAAGGCGACGAUACAUAGCUGGUCUGAGAGGAUGAUCAGACACACUGGGACUGAGACACGGCCCAGACUCCUACGGGAGGCAGCAGUGGGGAAUAUUGGAAAAUGGGCGAAAGCAUGAUCCAGCACUGACGCGUGAGUGAUGAAGGCCUUAGGGUUGUAAAGCUCUUUUAUCCGGGAUGAUAAUGACAGUACCGGGAGAAUAAGCUCCGGCUAACUCCGUG